GCAUAGAUUGGUGAGACAGCCGACUCGAGAAGACGCGUGACACGCAGCCGCAUCCACCCGCUCGCUGCGCCGGCUGUCUAACCGUGUCCGUACGGUGGCCGUGGCCCAACACGUGUAGCGCGAAGCCUCGCGUACGCCUAUGUGCUGUCAAUUUGGAUGGGCGACUCCGUUGCCUCGAGGGCUGUGUACUCUUUCCACCCGCUUUGCUCUCUCUUCUGGCCUCAUAAGAAGUCAGCUUUUUAUUUUUUUUUACUUUAAUAAUUAUAUAUAAUAUUAUUUAUAAUACAUAAAUAAUAUGAUAGAUCGUCGGUACGUAUUUUUCUAUACAUCUAAUCAAAAUUUAAUUAACAUAUACUUCACAAUAUAAUCUAUUAUAAGAUAAUGAGAGUAGAACCGAGUCUUUCCGCACAACAAACAAAACCGUUGGCUCCCUCCAUCCCAAAUUGUAAGUCAUUUCAAGAAUCUUAGAGAGUCAAACUUUUCUAAGUUUGACUAAAUUUAUAUUAUAAAAUAAUAAUUAUUAUGGUAUUAACUAAGUAUUAUUAGAUUUUUUUUCUUAAUUAUAUUUUCAUAGUAUACUCACUUUACGUUAUAAAUCUUAGUAUUUUUCUCUAUAAUUUUGGUCAAACGUGAAAAUGCUUUGACUCUCCAAGAUUCUUGGAAUGACAGAUGGAGGGAGUACUAAGGUCUUGUUUAGUUCACCUCGAAAUCCAAAAAGUUUUCAAGAUUCUCUGUCACAUCAAAUCUUGUGACACAUGCAUGGGUACAAUUCACAGCAUGGGUACAAUUUAGAUGAAAAUCGUAUAGGUUUGGUUUUGAGAUCUAGAGUUAUUCACAGCAUGAGUACAAUUUAGAUGAAAAUCAUUUUCUAGAUAUUUGUGUAAUCCAGAGUGUUUG
RNAcentral lists this long non-coding RNA (897 nucleotides) under Sorghum bicolor (sorghum). RNAcentral's name for it is "long non-coding RNA (SBIC_LNC014809)". Lineage: Eukaryota; Viridiplantae; Streptophyta; Magnoliopsida; Poales; Poaceae. The record is from RNAcentral.